ACGGGUGAGUAACACGUGGAUAACCUACCUAUAAGAUUGGGAUAACUUCGGGAAACCGGAGCUAAUACCGGAUAAUAUAUUGAACCGCAUGGUUCAAUAGUGAAAGACGGUUUUGCUGUCACUUAUAGAUGGAUCCGCGCCGCAUUAGCUAGUUGGUAAGGUAACGGCUUACCAAGGCAACGAUGCGUAGCCGACCUGAGAGGGUGAUCGGCCACACUGGAACUGAGACACGGUCCAGACUCCUACGGGAGGCAGCAGUAGGGAAUCUUCCGCAAUGGGCGAAAGCCUGACGGAGCAACGCCGCGUGAGUGAUGAAGGUCUUCGGAUCGUAAAACUCUGUUAUUAGGGAAGAACAAAUGUGUAAGUAACUAUGCACGUCUUGACGGUACCUAAUCAGAAAGCCACGGCUAACUACGUGCCAGCAGCCGCGGUAAUACGUAGGUGGCAAGCGUUAUCCGGAAUUAUUGGGCGUAAAGCGCGCGUAGGCGGUUUUUUAAGUCUGAUGUGAAAGCCCACGGCUCAACCGUGGAGGGUCAUUGGAAACUGGGAAACUUGAGUGCAGAAGAGGAAAGUGGAAUU
This 579-nucleotide ribosomal RNA is filed under the name uncultured bacterium. RNAcentral describes it as "bacterial SSU rRNA". It matches the Rfam family "Bacterial small subunit ribosomal RNA", at positions 102 to 668 of the family's 1533-position model. The record is from RNAcentral.